RNAcentral lists this long non-coding RNA (602 nucleotides) under Nicotiana benthamiana. Its description in RNAcentral is "long non-coding RNA (NBEN_LNC010045)". The record is from RNAcentral. Lineage: Eukaryota; Viridiplantae; Streptophyta; Magnoliopsida; Solanales; Solanaceae.
UCAGUAGUUUAUUUUCAUAAUGCUCAGAUGUAACAGGAGUUUUCUUGUUUUUACCUCACUCCCGGAACAAAAACGAAUAGAAAAACCCAAUAAAAGCUGAAGAACUAGGGCCGGAGCUAGCCAUGAAUUCAGCAGAAGCAACAGCAGCAAAUCAACACUUCUCAAACCUGUUCGCACUUGAAUUUCCAGUAAAGUAGAGCAGAGGAGUAAAUCUCAAGCUAGCUUUGUUUCAAGGUUGUUCCAUGAAUGAUUUUCCAGCAGUAACACAGCCAUUUUAGGGGGUGAUUUGAGGUUAAAUUUGAGCUCGCCUUCAGGGCUGUUCUAGCUAUGUUAUUGGAGCUCCACUUGAGCUGGUUUUAAUGGGGUUUGGGGUUAAUUUGGUUGUGGUUUAACACUGAUUUUGGGACAGCUUUUUAACUCAUUUUCGGAGCUGCUUUGAGGUUGUUUUCUGGGUGAAUCCGAGCUCGUUAUAGUAUGCUCUGAUGGUGUGACAUGGAGGUGGGUGCUAAUGGAAGUUUCGGGUGGGUUUCAUGGAGGAACAAGGUGGUUGUUAUGGAUUUUUGUGGUGGGAAGAUGAGAUUGAAGAAAAAAAAAUUAAAAGG